This 253-nucleotide ribosomal RNA is filed under the name uncultured bacterium. Its description in RNAcentral is "partial 16S ribosomal RNA". It matches the Rfam family "Bacterial small subunit ribosomal RNA", at positions 524 to 776 of the family's 1533-position model. The record is from RNAcentral.
UACGUAGGGUGCGAGCGUUAAUCGGAAUUACUGGGCGUAAAGCGUGCGCAGGCGGCCGCGCAAGUCGAGUGUGAAAGCCCCGGGCUUAACUUGGGAAUUGCGCUCGAAACUACGUGGCUGGAGUGUGGCAGAGGAAGGUGGAAUUCCAGGUGUAGCGGUGAAAUGCGUAGAGAUCUGGAGGAACACCGAUGGCGAAGGCAGCCUUCUGGGCCAACACUGACGCUCAUGCACGAAAGCGUGGGGAGCAAACAGG